Molecule: long non-coding RNA, 430 nt
Organism: Daphnia pulex (common water flea)
Lineage: Eukaryota; Metazoa; Arthropoda; Branchiopoda; Diplostraca; Daphniidae
Exons: 4
Source: RefSeq, a predicted model, not a curated record
GCAAACACCUCCGUGUUAUCUGGACAGGGUGGAGUGGCAACCCCAAAGGACUGCCAGGACCGCUAAAAGGAGGCGUCAUUCUCGAAUGCCUGACUAGACGUUUUAACUUUACGUACGAGAUGGUCCGAGUUACGGAGAGCAGCGUGGUGCCAUCGACAAAUGGAAAAGGACUUUUCAACUACUUGCGGAAUCAACAAUGUGAUUUGCUGCUUCAAGACGUGGUGUCAUCGAUUGCAUACGGGAACCGACAGGUUGUUGACAUCACAGUGCCAUGGGUUUACACCACAGGUGCUAUACUUACUCAUAUUCCGGAUGACUCACUUAAUAUCCAAGCUGUCAUCAAACCCUUUCAAUGGCCGGUACAACAAUCGGUAAAAUUGGGCUUAUCUUAAUUGGUAAUACCAAUACCUUUUGUCAUCAAAGGUAUGGU